CCUACGGGUGGCAGCAGUGAGGAAUAUUGGUCAAUGGCCGAGAGGCUGAACCAGCCAAGUCGCGUGAGGGAAGAAUGUCCUAUGGAUUGUAACCCUCUUUUGUCCGGGAGCCAAGUCACCCACGCGUGGGUGUUGGAUAUUACCUGAAGAAAAAGCAUCGGCUAACUCCGUGCCAGCAGCCGCGGUAAUACAGCGGAUGCGAGCUUUAUCCGGAUGUAUUGGGUUUAAAGGGUGCGUAGGCGGGUUAUCAAGUCAGCGGUAAAAUCGUUGAGCUCAACUCCAUCCAGCCGUUGAAACUGAUGAUCUUGAGUGGGCGAGAAGUAUGCGGAAUGCGUGGUGUAGCGGUGACAUGCAUAGAUAUCACGCAGAACUCCGAUUGCGAAGGCAGCAUACCGGCGCCCGACUGACGCUGAAGCACGAAAGCGUGGGUAUCGAACAGGAUUAGAUACCCGAGUAGUC
RNAcentral lists this ribosomal RNA (459 nucleotides) under uncultured bacterium. RNAcentral describes it as "partial 16S ribosomal RNA". It matches the Rfam family "Bacterial small subunit ribosomal RNA", at positions 338 to 795 of the family's 1533-position model. The record is from RNAcentral.